GCGUCCGGAAGCGGAGGCGUCCGGGGGAAAAUGGCGGCCGACUUGAAAUCGGAGCGGGGCGGUCCGGGCGGAAAGCUGAGCCCGGCAGGCGGGUCCUCGGUCGGGCCGGGCCCACGGGGCUCCCGCGAGCACGUCGUGAGGCAACUGGAGCGCGUCAAGGGUCACCUUCUGUGGCACGGCAAGAGAAUCCUGCACAGCUGAUUCCGCUUGCUGCUUAGGGAAAGGCUACAUUUAAAAGUUCAUUAGUUUCCUCGUGACCGUGUCAGUGACUAAAAUUGAGUUAUGAUUCUUCAGCCAGAAAAAUGACACCGCUCUUAAAGAUCCGGGCUAUUUCCAAACACGUAUUCGUCACGUGCAAAUGUCCUCAGGAUACAGAUCGCCUGCGCUUGGUGCUCUGAUGAGACCAUACGCUGAGACAGGGAUGAGCUCCGGCAGCCAGAAAAGACACGAGGUCCUGGGGUUUUUCUCUGUCUGUCUGCUUGUUUUCUGGGGUGGGGGUGCGUGUGUUUUCAAAAACAGAGUGCACUGUUGACCUCAGGUGGCAGCCUGCAGAGCUCCCUUGCUGCCUGACCUCUCCUUUUCUUUGUCACUCCUCUUUCGUGGCUACAGCUUUUGUUCGGAUAAUUUUAGACAAGCGAUGAAGUGACUUGCCUGUGUAAAAGUGUUGGCAAUACCAGGAAGGACCGGACGGUCCUUGUAGUGUGGACUUUGAAGUUAACAUGAAGGCUUUGUCGGCUCUCCUUCUAUGGUUUUUGUAUGAAAUAGUUUAAGAAAACACUAAAAAGAGUAUAAGGUCCGUUCUGGAGCAUGUUAUGCCCAUGCAAGGCUUACUUCCCAGCAUUUAUUUUCUCUUCCUGAAAGCACAGUCUUCUCUUUCUGUGUUUCUGUGUGCUCACCAUUAAGCGAUGCCAUGAAAAAAACUGUGUACUAAAAGGGGGAAGAAACUGUUCGUAAGAGUUCAGAUGUUCAGGAGAAGGAGCCUCUGUGUUCACGAUAAAAGCUUUAUGCUUUUGCAGUCAAUACGUCUUUAGGAUAUCUUACAGUGGGAUUCGAGAAACCUUACUAAGAUACUGGCAUCUGUCCCAAAAGUGAUUGACGUCAAAGGAGAGACAUGGACGAACCGGGACAAAGCAGCGUCACUUCUGCGUGUUUUCCAGGCGUUCCCACGAAGCACCAGCAGCCUUGUAACUAGUGACGGGUUUGACCUGUCCCUCUCGGCUGCAUCGACCCAGCGAGCGAGGUGAGCAGUGGCAGCAGCGUGAGGGCCGUAGCUGCGGUGGUGGCUGUCAGCGUGGAUUCUGGUUACGGCUCAGCGCGCUCGGGCCGGCCCGCACGAGGAGUGAGGGAUCUCCCUGCAGCUGCAGUGGGACGAAGGGGCCAGGUGUUUCCCAGUGCCGGCCAGAGUGUUCGCCCUUACGCUAAGAACGUGUUCAAAAUGUCAUCGGCUAGCCUUAAUCCUGGCUUUGAGAGUUGAGCUGGUGCUGGCUUUUGAAGGCUGUGCUGUGUUUGGAGCUGAGCUGUUUCCCCAGAAUCCUCCUGUAGCUCAGCUCCUGUCCCGUCCCUCGGUCUGAGGGAAUUCCUCUACUCUCUUCUCUUCUGCCCUACUUUUUUAGCACGCUGAACUCUAACUGGGGAUUUUUGUUUUCCAGGUGCCUCGUUGUAGGUGUCUCGUGCUGCUCGAGAGAUGCCCCAGGCCAGGUUUGCAGCUGGUGGCGGAGCCCCACUGAGGGGAAGGGGCCAGCCCUGGGUCUGGGCAUUGUGUUCCUUUUUUGGGGGGGAAUAAAAAAAGGGGACACGUGUGUGUGUGUGUCUGGGGGGCGAUGGUGUCAUUGGGGACGCUGUGACGUCACCGGGGCAGGGAUGCGAUGGGUCGGCGGAGGAGCAGGUGAGUGGGGGAUGUGGGGGUUACGUGGAGUUCCCCCAGGAGAGGCGCGUGCGCUGUGGCCCCGCCCUCGGCCCGCCCUGGCCCCACCCGCGGUGGCGCUGUGCGUUGGUUCCGCAGCUCGUGCGGAGCGCGGCGUUGCGGAGGCCGGUGCGGUGAGAGUCUCCAGAGAGCGGCAGCCAGAGGGCAAACCAGGACCGCUGGGACUCCGGCGAGAUCCGCGCUACCUGGAGCGUGAUCGGUGCCGCCCGGCCGGCCUCGAGAGCGGCCGUAUGCGGUGCAGUAUCGGCUGUUAGGCGUUACUGCGCCGUCAGUUUUACGGGUGUCCAUCUCCAUGGCAAGGCGGUCAUUCAGGACCCUGGAAGUGCCCCCUCAGUCCUCCGAUGCGUGUCUCUAUGGCACUUUAGUCGUCCAGGCGCCCCCUCAGUCCUCCGACUCGCAUCUCUAUAGCACUUUAGUCUUCCAGGAGGCCGGAAGUGCUCUCUCAGUCCUCCAGCGUGCGUGUCUAUGGCACUUCAGUGCUCCAAGAGCCCGUAAAUGCUUGUCAGUCUUCUGGAAAUCAUACGCUUCUAGCACUCUUCCGAAACCAUAAAACAUGAUUAACAGUUAAACACAAAAAUAUCUGAAGAUCGCAAAAAUAAAGUGACCCCCGCAUAACUCUCCACAGCAACAACUGGACAGAAAUCAAAAGUGGCAAGAGAAUGCUCGUCCCCUAGUGCCGUAAAGCUGUACUGCGCAUGCGCACGCCUAGUGCAGUAGGGCUGUACUGCGCAUGCGGCGCGUUCUGUGCCAUACAGCUGUAAGGCGCAUACGUGCCCCAGUGCCGUAGAGCUGCACUGUGCAUGCGCGACGUUUCACCGUACAGCUGCACUGCGCAUGUGCGCCCCCUAGUGCCGUAAAGCUGUACGGCGCAUGGCGCCCCUUAGUGCCGUACGGAUGCACUGCGCGUGCGCGAUGCUGUCCGCCGUACAGCUAUAUUGCGCAUGCGCGCCCCCAGUGCCGUACGGAUGCACUGCGCAUGCGCGACGCUGUCUGCCGUACGGGUGUACUGCGUGUGCACCGCCCGUGGUGCCGCACCGCUUGGUUGGCGUGGCCGCUCGGUCUGGUCUGCCCUGCUUGGCCCCCGUGAACGCGUUAUGAGGUAGCUGGAUUGCGUGAAGGACAAGGAGUCGUACAGUGAGCUGUACUGGAAGGUCUGCGAGAGGCUCAGCACCUUCUCCGAGGUCAUUGUCUUUGACUUCAAGGGAAUGUCCCCCAUGACUGGCAUGUUUCCCCCCCCCCCAGCGCAGGCUGCCCCCUCACCAGUUGUUCCUCAGGGGCCUGUGCCGUCGCCAUCCAUGUCACAGGGGACACCAGCUCCUGCCAAAUGCUCUGGGAGCGCUGGAGCCUGACAGCAUCUCGGCAAAGGAGAGAUGAGCGAGGAAGCGAGCGGGGACCCCCUGGAUGCAGAGAGGAGGAUAAAGGAGCUGCGGAGCAGAGACCAAUGGGGGCUCGGAUGGGAUGAGAGAGAGGGAAAGAGAGAUGAAGUGCCACAAGGUGCCCCAGGUAUUUGCUCUAAAGCUUUAAAAAGAGGGAACUGAAUGUAACGGAUUUUUUUACCCCUGAUAUUUACACAGCAUGCUCUAAAGUACUUUAUUUCUGUCUGGCUUUCAGUGGCGUGUUUCCUCAGCAGCCCAGUAGCAUCUCUCUCAGGCAGUGCUGCUGGCCAGAUGUCCCUCCUCGUUGCGUAGCACACAAAAAACCUUGUAGUCCAAUUAUAACUAUGUAUUUUGGAGAGAGAUAGUGUUAUGGUAUCAAUUCCCAGCUGUGGAAGUGAAAUCAGUGCCUGAAGAAAGUCAAAUACUUUUAUAGCGUAAGUAUUUUUAUUCGGUGUAUAUAAACCUAACGCACACCUUUUCACCGAAAGGGAAGGGACAAGGCAUUUCCCAACACCAGUGAGAAGGUUUACUGUUACGCUAAGAACGUGUUCAAAAUGGCAUCGGUUAGCUUUAAUCCUGACUUCAAGAGUUGAGCUGGCGCUGGCUUUUGCAGGCUGUGCUGUGUUUGGAGCUGAGCUGUUUCCCCAGAAUCCUCCUGUAGCUCAGCUCCUGUCCUGUCCCUCUGAUGGAAUUCCUCUACUCUCUUCCGGGCUAUUUUUUAAGAUACUGAGCUAUAACUGGGGAUUUUUGUUUUCCAGGUGCCUCGUUGUAGGUGUCUCGUGCUGCUCGAGAGAUGCCCCAGGCCAGGUUUGCAGCUGGUGGCGGAGCCCCUCGCCCCGAGGGGAAGGGGCCGGCCCUGGGUCUGGGAGUUUUGGGGCUUUUUUGGGGGGGAAUAGAAGGGUGUCUGUCUGUGUGUGUGUCUCGGGGGGUGAUGGUGUCAUUUGGGACACUGCAACAUCACUGGGGUUUGGGUCUCCCAAACGAGGUGGUUCACAGCCCCAAAACGUCUGAAAAUCUUGGAAUGCGUUAAAAAAAUGUGAAAACCUGUAACUAUGGGCGUGAGGCACUGAAAUAGAGAACAAUCUCUCAUUUAUAUAUGAGAAAUAUAUAUACUGAGAAAUAAUAUUAUGUAUGUAAAAUAACUUCAAAAUAAAAACCUCUAUG
Molecule: long non-coding RNA, 4464 nt
Organism: Chroicocephalus ridibundus (black-headed gull)
Lineage: Eukaryota; Metazoa; Chordata; Aves; Charadriiformes; Laridae
Exons: 6
Source: RefSeq, a predicted model, not a curated record